AACGAACGCUGGCGGCAUGCCUAACACAUGCAAGUCGAACGAGACCUUCGGGUCUAGUGGCGCACGGGUGCGUAACGCGUGGGAACCUGCCCUUAGGUUCGGAAUAACUCCCCGAAAGGGGUGCUAAUACCGGAUAAUGUCUUCGGACCAAAGAUUUAUCGCCGUUGGAUGGGCCCGCGUUGGAUUAGCUAGUUGGUAGGGUAAAAGCCUACCAAGGCGACGAUCCAUAGCUGGUCUGAGAGGAUGAGCAGCCACACUGGGACUGAGACACGGCCCAGACUCCUACGGGAGGCAGCAGUGGGGAAUAUUGGACAAUGGGCGAAAGCCUGAUCCAGCAAUGCCGCGUGAGUGAUGAAGGCCUUAGGGUUGUAAAGCUCUUUUACCCGGGAUGAUAAUGACAGUACCGGGAGAAUAAGCUCCGGCUAACUCCGUG
This 433-nucleotide ribosomal RNA is filed under the name uncultured bacterium. RNAcentral's name for it is "partial 16S ribosomal RNA". It matches the Rfam family "Bacterial small subunit ribosomal RNA", at positions 29 to 507 of the family's 1533-position model. The record is from RNAcentral.